Molecule: ribosomal RNA, 245 nt
Filed under: uncultured Porphyromonas sp.
Lineage: Bacteria; Pseudomonadati; Bacteroidota; Bacteroidia; Bacteroidales; Porphyromonadaceae
Description: partial 16S ribosomal RNA
Rfam family: Bacterial small subunit ribosomal RNA
Source: RNAcentral
UACGGAGGAUGCGAGCGUUAUCCGGAUUUAUUGGGUUUAAAGGGUGCGUAGGCGGCCUGUUAAGUCAGCGGUGAAAUCUAGGAGCUUAACUCCUAAAUUGCCAUUGAUACUGGCGGGCUUGAGUGUAGAUGAGGUAGGCGGAAUGCGUGGUGUAGCGGUGGAAUGCAUAGAUAUCACGCAGAACUCCGAUUGCGAAGGCAGCUUACUAAGGUACAACUGACGCUGAAGCACGAAAGCGUGGGUAU